Oncorhynchus nerka (sockeye salmon) is the source of this 3233-nucleotide long non-coding RNA. RefSeq lists it as uncharacterized. NCBI's taxonomy places the organism in Eukaryota, Metazoa, Chordata, Actinopteri, Salmoniformes, Salmonidae. The record is from RefSeq and is a predicted model, not a curated record. The transcript has 9 exons.
CGCGCAGACGCUUGCGAAAAGUACUAGCUACAAAAUUGCCUGCUGCUGUAUACAUAGCGCGCGUGUGUGUAUGUUGCUAACCUAGCUAGUUAGCUAGUCAUCAAUAAAGUUCCCAAUGUUACAACAUGGCAGACGGCUGGAGCACCGACACCGGAGAGGCUGCCUAUCGUUCCCGGGAUGCUGUCAAAAACCUUACAAUUAAGAUCCGUAUUCAGAGAGUCACCUCCACAGCAGCCCUCUCCCAACACCUUCAGCAGCAGGUUUGGACUCAACAGGAGAGGGGAGGCAUUGAGCUGGACACCCUCAACUCACAGGCUCAAUCAGGUGUUAACACUGUUUUGAAACAGAAAGAUGUCAGAUGCUUCUUAGUUGAGUAGAUGUCAUUUUCGUGGUGACUAGAUAUGGACCACAACAUCUUGGUUUUGUUUCAGCCAGAAAUGAUGAGGAGUUAGUGGUAGGCUGGCAGGAGAAGCUGUUCAGUCAGUGUCCUUAUAACAAAUAAUAAUUGACUGUUUAGGAUAGUUUGAUGUUGCAUAGUAAGGUGUGUGUGUGUGUGUGCACAAUAUGAAGUGGGUUUGUUCCAGAGUGAGUCAGUAUGCCAGACUCCGCUGGAGAGACAAUACCACACAGAGAUCAUGGCUCAGGAGCGGACCAGGGGCAGAUGGAACUGCAGGAUUUUCACCUACACCGAUUCUGACUGCUACACCAAUUGGGAAGGGGUGGUUUUCAACAGACUCUCCAUUUCUGUAACGGUUCUGUAACCAAAGACGCUGGGAGACAGGAAGCAAGUAUAGGGGGAGGAUUUAUUAAUAAAUAGACAUGAAACUAGAGACGAACAGAGUCUGGACAAGAGAAACAAAACAACAUUGAUGCAGACAUGGGAAUGAAACUGAGGAAGUGACAGAUAUAGGGGAGGUAAUCAAUGACGUGAUGGAGUCCAGGUGAGUCCGAUGAAGCGCUGGUGCGCGUAAAAAUGGCGACAGGUGUGCGUAAUGAUGAGCAGCCUGGCGACCUCGAGCGCCACAAAGCAUUUACCUAUUUUCUGUCCAAAAGAAACGUUAGUGUUUUAAAGCUGUUUUUGAUGUACUCACUACAGCAUUCCCAGAGUAUGGUGACGCAGGUCAAGUCCAAUCCUACCUUACUGGCACAUAGAAUGGCCAAUGUCAGACACAGACGACAGGACAGACACCCAGUGUAGGUCCCUGUUACUCACCAAAGUGAAUUAUUAUUAAAGUGAAUGUAAUUGAAGCAGCAUUGAUGCGUCGUGCUGCUUUGAAGACAAACAGUGUACCGGUAUGUUCACAUUACACCAUACCCUUGUAUGCAAAAUGUGUUUGUGGUAUUCUGUUGGUCUGCAGUGACAGCACUAUCCCCAAGUCCAGGCUGAUUACCUGGGACCCCUCGGAGGACUUUGUGAAGACCAGCCACAUGGUCAACACACCUGUACAGACCAUGCACAUCAUGGGGGACCUGGGACCAGCAGGCAAACUUGGCCAAAAGGAGAAGGAAUGCUUGUUGUGCACGAUAAGAGCAGAUGGAAAUGGAGUGGUUACCAUCAAACCAGACUUCAACAAAGGCAAGGAGCCCUACAGGCCAGUGACCCGCACCUGCUGAAGUCAAAAUGUUUUACCCCUAGCUCAAGUUGAGACGGAGGGGGAGAAGAGGGAGGUAUGGCGUCAGACCAGAGGAGACGGAACAGCAACAGUGCAUAUAUAGACCGUUAUGUACGUCAUAAAGACUACCUCAACAGCUUGGUUGGCCAGGACUGAAAUGAUAUCAGCAAUCAAUCAACAAGACUAAUGAAAUGGGGAAAAUUAAGACAUUAGAACUGCUAAAGUUUUCCCUAGAUACAGAUCUAGGAUCAGCUUCCCCUCCCCAAACCUAACAAGGACCAUUCGCGGGGGGAAUGCAAACCUGAUCCAAAGCCAGGGUCUAUUUGGGGAACUUGUCCCCUCCCCCACAACACGACACGUGGAUGCGGCUUCCUCAGUUCACCAUGCACAUAAAGAAAACAGCAGUGUAUUUCAGCUGCAAGCCUGGGAAAGAACUGAGAAAACGUACUAGAGAGUCAAAAGAGUCAAGACAGACACCAGAAAGAGGCCCAAGAAGACUUGGACGCAGGAACAGAGGACAGCGAGGGAUGUUCAGAACUCACUCAGUCCGGUUUGGAGAAUGACUUCUCAACCCAAGACUAAGAGCAGCUGUAAGAAAGCAUCAGUUUGGAAGAAUUUGGGAAAAUGUAAAGUGCAAAAGAAGGUUCCCGGCAAAGAGGAUCGACUGUUAUGGGUCAGAGCCAGCUCUCACAAACAGAACAUGGAAAGACAUGAAAACCUGGUGCACAACAAAAUGCAAACAGAAAAGGCUCUCCGCAGCCGGUAAAAGGCUAGCAUGCCAUGAAGCUGAAGUUCACACAGGUGAAUGGGAGAGUUGUAAAAGACAAAAAGCUUUUUAGACAUAGCUCCAAAAUGCAGGUGCUAGUUCUGUUUUGUGGUGGAAAACUUAGUGUGUCGAGCAUAAUUCUUCAACCCUGUUACCAAUAGAUAAGGCUAGACGUUUUUUAGAAAUUUCAUUUUUUGUCUGAAACGUCCAAUUCAAAAGCUUCCCUUCCCCUUGUCACAAGGAAUUUAUGCAUGAUUUAAUAUGAAACCCUGCCUCCCGAGUGGCGCAGUGGUCUUAGGCACUGCAUCGCAUUUGCUAGCUGUGCCGCUAUAGAUCCUGGUUCGAGUCCAGGCUCUGUCGCAGCCGGCUGCGACCCGGAGACCCAUGGGUUGGCGCACAAUUGUCCCAGCGUCGUCCUGGUUAGGGGAGGGUUUGUCUGGCAGGGAUGUCCUUGUCCCAUUGCGCUCUAGCAACUCCUGUGGCGGGCCGGGCGCAUGCAUGCUGACACGGUCGCCAGGUGUACGGUGUUUCCUCCGACACAUUGGUGUGGCUGGCUUCCGGGUUUAGUGGGCAUUGUGUCAGGAAGCAGUGCAGCUUGGCAGGGUCGUGUUUCGGAGGACGCCUGGCUCUCUACCUUCGCCUCUCCCGAGACCGUAGGGAGUGUGCAGCAAUGAGACAAGACUGUAACUACCAAUUGGAUACCACGAAAAUUGGGGAGAUAAAGGGGUUAAAAUAAAAAAUAAAUAAAAAUAUAUAUAACAUGACCAUAUAUAACAUUUGGUCAGCCUUUACUUAAUAGGCACUUAUUGUAGUCAUUUUUAAAUUUAAUCUAUUGAUUAAAUAACCGUUUUCUA